Non-coding RNA from Trichonephila clavata, 73 nucleotides. NCBI's taxonomy places the organism in Eukaryota, Metazoa, Arthropoda, Arachnida, Araneae, Nephilidae. The record is from the annotation of a GenBank genome assembly.
GUCUCUGUGGCGCAAUGGAUAGCGUGUUGGACUUCUCGUCCAAAGGUCGUAGGUUCGAAUCCUACCUGGGAUG